UACGUAGGGUGCAAGCGUUAAUCGGAAUUACUGGGCGUAAAGCGUGCGCAGGCGGUUUGUAAGACUGUCGUGAAAUCCCCGGCUCAACCUGGGAAUGGCGAUGGUGACUGCAAGGCUAGAGUUUGGCAGAGGGGGGUAGAAUUCCACGUGUAGCAGUGAAAUGCGUAGAUAUGUGGAGGAACACCGAUGGCGAAGGCAGCCCCCUGGGUCAAAACUGACGCUCAUGCACGAAAGCGUGGGGAGCAAACAGG
Molecule: ribosomal RNA, 251 nt
Filed under: uncultured bacterium
Lineage: Bacteria
Description: partial 16S ribosomal RNA
Rfam family: Bacterial small subunit ribosomal RNA
Source: RNAcentral